CCAAGAAUUGCAAAUUAGCAUGAUCUCAAAAUCAUUGCAUAAUGGUUGGGAGGCUUUCUCCCUGGAGACCACAAACCACCUCAAGGGCAUUGUUCUAGAGAUCCUGACGGAUCGUGUCCCACCAGUCCUGUUUGCACUCUGCCAAGAAAGGGCCAUCAUAUUGGGACAGAGUUGCUUUUAGCCUCUGCUGGAACUCCUCCUCGGAUGGACGCUGCACGGGUGCAAGCUCUAUCCAUCUUGGCAAAUUCCAGAAGGCUGGAGCCGUAGCGGUGACCUUUCACGUGUCAGAGAUCGGCUCUUGCAUGGCUGGAGCCGUAGCGG
Molecule: non-coding RNA, 321 nt
Organism: Pelobates cultripes (western spadefoot toad)
Lineage: Eukaryota; Metazoa; Chordata; Amphibia; Anura; Pelobatidae
Source: the annotation of a GenBank genome assembly